GACGAACCGUGCGAACGUUAUUCGGAAUCACUGGGCGUAAAGGGCGCGUAGGCGGCCUGAUAAGUAGGGGGUGAAAUCCUGUGGCUUAACUGCAGGGCUGCCUCCUAGACUGUUAGGCUCGAGCACGGUAGAGGCAGAUGGAAUUCCCGGUGUAGCGGUGGAAUGCGUAGAGAUCGGGAAGAACAUCGGUGGCGAAGGCGGUCUGCUGGGCCGUUGCUGACGCUGAGGCGCGACAGCGUGGGGAGCAAACAGG
Molecule: ribosomal RNA, 253 nt
Filed under: uncultured bacterium
Lineage: Bacteria
Description: partial 16S ribosomal RNA
Rfam family: Bacterial small subunit ribosomal RNA
Source: RNAcentral